AGGCGGAUAGCUCAGUGGUAGAGCAGCGCCCUUACAAGGCGCGGGUCGCAGGUUCGAUCCCUGUUCCGCCUACCG
Molecule: transfer RNA, 75 nt
Filed under: Deltaproteobacteria bacterium
Lineage: Bacteria; Pseudomonadati; Myxococcota; Myxococcia
Description: tRNA-Val
Rfam family: tRNA
About the family: Transfer RNA (tRNA) molecules are approximately 80 nucleotides in length. Their secondary structure includes four short double-helical elements and three loops (D, anti-codon, and T loops).
Source: RNAcentral